This 442-nucleotide ribosomal RNA is filed under the name uncultured Allobrachymonas sp. RNAcentral's name for it is "bacterial SSU rRNA". It matches the Rfam family "Bacterial small subunit ribosomal RNA", at positions 933 to 1382 of the family's 1533-position model. Lineage: Bacteria; Pseudomonadati; Pseudomonadota; Betaproteobacteria; Burkholderiales; Comamonadaceae. The record is from RNAcentral.
UGGAUGAUGUGGUUUAAUUCGAUGCAACGCGAAAACCUUACCACCUUUGACAUGGCAGGAAUCCCGAAGAGAUUGGGAGUGCUCGAAAGAGAACCUGCACACAGGUGCUGCAUGGCUGUCGUCAGCUCGUGUCGUGAGAUGUUGGGUUAAGUCCCGCAACGAGCGCAACCCUUGCCAUUAGUUGCUACGAAAGGGCACUCUAAUGGGACUGCCGGUGACAAACCGGAGGAAGGUGGGGAUGACGUCAAGUCCUCAUGGCCCUUAUAGGUGGGGCUACACACGUCAUACAAUGGCCGGUACAGAGGGUAGCCAACCCGCGAGGGGGAGCCAAUCCCACAAAGCCGGUCGUAGUCCGGAUUGUUCUCUGCAACUCGAGAGCAUGAAGUCGGAAUCGCUAGUAAUCGCAGGUCAGCAUACUGCGGUGAAUACGUUCCCGGGUCUU